This is a small nucleolar RNA of Hyaena hyaena (striped hyena), 138 nucleotides long. RefSeq annotates it as U8 small nucleolar RNA. Lineage: Eukaryota; Metazoa; Chordata; Mammalia; Carnivora; Hyaenidae. The transcript has a single exon. The record is from RefSeq and is a predicted model, not a curated record.
UUGUCAGGUAGGAAAAUCUUUACCUGUUCCUUUUGUCGGAGGGCAGAUUGGAUCAUGAUGAUUGAAGUUUGCAUGAUUUGGGAUUAGCGUUUCUGCAUACAGUCAGGACUUUGGACACACUGACUGAUCCUAUUUGAC